GAUUUGGUGGAGCAACGGUAGCGCGUCUGACUCCAGAUCAGAAGGUUGCGUGUUUAAAUCAUGUCUGGGUCA
RNAcentral lists this transfer RNA (72 nucleotides) under Trichonephila clavata. It matches the Rfam family "tRNA". From Rfam's summary of the family: Transfer RNA (tRNA) molecules are approximately 80 nucleotides in length. Their secondary structure includes four short double-helical elements and three loops (D, anti-codon, and T loops). Further hydrogen bonds mediate the characteristic L-shaped molecular structure. tRNAs have two regions of fundamental functional importance: the anti-codon, which is responsible for specific mRNA codon recognition, and the 3' end, to which the tRNAs corresponding amino acid is attached (by aminoacyl-tRNA synthetases). tRNAs cope with the degeneracy of the genetic code in two manners: having more than one tRNA (with a specific anti-codon) for a particular amino acid; and 'wobble' base-pairing, i.e. permitting non-standard base-pairing at the 3rd anti-codon position. Lineage: Eukaryota; Metazoa; Arthropoda; Arachnida; Araneae; Nephilidae. The record is from Rfam by way of RNAcentral.